UACACUCCUGCGGGAGGCAGCAGUGAGGAAUAUUGGACAAUGGGUGGAAGCCUGAUCCAGCCAUCCCGCGUGCAGGAAGACGGCCCUAUGGGUUGUAAACUGCUUUUAUCUGGGGAUAAACCUACUUACGUGUAAGUAGCUGAAGGUACCAGAAGAAUAAGCACCGGCUAACUCCGUGCCAGCAGCCGCGGUAAUACGGAGGGUGCAAGCGUUAUCCGGAUUUAUUGGGUUUAAAGGGUCCGUAGGCGGACUGAUAAGUCAGUGGUGAAAUCCGACAGCUUAACUGUCGAACUGCCAUUGAUACUGUUAGUCUUGAGUAAGGUUGAAGUGCUGGAAUAAGUAGUGUAGCGGUGAAAUGCAUAGAUAUUACUUAGAACACCAAUUGCGAAGGCAGGUCACUAAGUCUUAACUGACGCUGAUGGACGAAAGCGUGGGGAGCGAACAGGAUUAGAAACCCGAGUAGUCCCAUGAU
This 472-nucleotide ribosomal RNA is filed under the name uncultured organism. RNAcentral's name for it is "partial 16S ribosomal RNA". It matches the Rfam family "Bacterial small subunit ribosomal RNA", at positions 332 to 801 of the family's 1533-position model. The record is from RNAcentral.